This 460-nucleotide ribosomal RNA is filed under the name uncultured bacterium. Its description in RNAcentral is "partial 16S ribosomal RNA". It matches the Rfam family "Bacterial small subunit ribosomal RNA", at positions 338 to 795 of the family's 1533-position model. The record is from RNAcentral.
CCUACGGGAGGCAGCAGUGAGGAAUAUUGGUCAAUGGGCGUAAGCCUGAACCAGCCAAGUCGCGUGAGGGAUGAAGGUUCUAUGGAUCGUAAACCUCUUUUGUAAGGGAAUAAAGUGUGGGACGUGUCCUAUUUUGUAUGUACCUUCUGAAUCAGGAUCGGCUAACUCCGUGCCAGCAGCCGCGGUAAUACGGAGGAUCCGAGAGUUAUCCGGAUUUAUUGGGUUUAAAGGGUGCGUAGGCGGCCGUUUAAGUAAGCGGUGAAAGUCUGUGGCUCACCCAUAGAAUUGCCGUUGAAACUGGGGGGCUUGAGUAUGUUUGAGGCAGGCGGAAUGCGUGGUGUAGCGGUGAAAUGCUUAGAUAUCACGCAGAACCCCGAUUGCGAAGGAAGCCUGCCAAGCCAUGACUGACGCUGAUGCACGAAAGCGUGGGGAUCAAACAGGAUGAGAUACCCCAGUAGUC